This 337-nucleotide ribosomal RNA is filed under the name uncultured bacterium. RNAcentral describes it as "bacterial SSU rRNA". It matches the Rfam family "Bacterial small subunit ribosomal RNA", at positions 568 to 898 of the family's 1533-position model. The record is from RNAcentral.
CAGGUAGGCGGGCCGGUAAGUCGGAUGUGAAAACCCCGUGGCUUAACCCGGGGCCGGCAUCUGAAACUGCUGGUCUUGAGUUACGGGAGUAGGGAGAUGGAACUUCCUGGUGUAACGGUGAAAUGUGUAGAUAUCAGGAGGAACACCGGUGGCGAAGGCGGUCUCCUGGCCCGAUACUGACGCUGAUCUGCGAAAGCUAGGGUAGCAAACAGGAUUAGAUACCCUGGUAGUCCUAGCCGUAAACGUUGGUCACUAGGUGUUGGAUCCCUAAUAAGGAUUCAGUGCCGCAGCUAACGCAUUAAGUGACCCACCUGGGGACUACGGCCGCAAGGUUGAA